This is a non-coding RNA of Coturnix japonica (Japanese quail), 5219 nucleotides long. The record is from RefSeq and is a predicted model, not a curated record. Lineage: Eukaryota; Metazoa; Chordata; Aves; Galliformes; Phasianidae.
UAAAAGUCUAAUUUGUUGUAUAGUUACCACUGUGGUGAUUUAAUUAAAAUCUAAGCUUGCAACUUCAAACUCCCAAACUUCAACACCAAAGAAGAUGCCCAUAAUUCCCCUUUGUACUUGCUGGAUCAUAAAUGCUGUGAAGACUAACUAACUCUAUCUGGCAUUUAAAAUACUCACUAGUGGCAGUAUUCAGGAUGUCUUCCACAUUAUGGAAAAAAAAAAAGAGUACAUAAGUCGUGGAGAAUCACAGGCUUCUUUAUGUAUCUUGUUCUGCAAGGUCAGGACUUCUUCGCUGUUGAAUGUGAAAGAAGUUUAAAAUUACGAAAUCAUUUAUUCAUGAGGGAAAUGUGCUGUUAUUUUUUUCUCAGUCAGCAGUCAAUAACUAGCCCAAAAAAGGGAAAAAUAAAAAUAAAGAGGAAUGAUGGGUUUAAAAAUAUCUGGUGUUCUCUGGACCUUUUCAAAAGGGUUCCUCUUCAUUCAAGAAUGCAGGAAGGGGGAGAGGGAAGGGACUGCGAAUAGCUGAGAUUAUCAGUGAUCUCACAGUAAAUUACACAUUUAUUUGGAAUGCAUUACAGGAUUAAGGUUACAGACUUGAGAAUUGAUCCAAAUUCCAUUAUGUAAAUGGAAAAAGAAAAUGAUCUUAAUUGUCUUAAAAGGAAAUUGAAUUUAGUUUUCAGUCUCAAUGCUUAUGUGAUCUCAGUUUAAUUCUGCUACAGCUUUUGUUAGUGCAUGGCAUCACCCAAGCAGGCCCCCACAUACGGUCUCAUGAACAGUCUCCCUUACUUUUUGCUAAGCUACAGGUCAGCUGGUCUCCUGCUGUGUACUCAUGUUCUCAUACCUGCAUUCAACCCCAAGAUCAAAGCACCAGCACUUUGUCCCAUACAGUUCCAAAUGCUCUUGGCUUCUACUGGACCCAGAGUAAAUUCAGAGUUUUCAGAAAUCCAGUUUGCACAGCAGAACAUUGGAAGCAGCAUAUCACAGUCAUAACAUUUUUGUCUCUUCUCUGAAGUAACAGGCAUACCUAUGGACUAUAAACAAAGUGAAUUUCAAGAUAGGGACAGAUCCAUUUUGAUCUGCCAGUUUCAUUUAAAAUUAAUAAAUUCAGGCUAAGUGUAAACUGUCCAGUCACAUCCUGUGAAGCUUUAAACAGUGUAACCACAAGGGAAAAUAAACCAUCAGCUCUUCCCUUUUUAUCUUAGAAGUGUCUGAAACGAACUGGUUGCUAAAGAAACCUGAUAUAAUUGUGACAGACUGUUUUGAAACCCUUAGCACAGUUCAUCUGAAACCUCAGCAUAACAAGUGGCUGCUUAUCUGUGUCCCAUUCCAGGAAGAAAUGCAUGGCAUUUCGUCAUCACAGCUGAAAGACUAGCUGGCUCCGCACGUAGGCUAAGCAAGAAUAAGAGCCCUCAGCUAUAAUGAGGGCAUGGUGGUAGCUAAUGCUUAGUCAGAGUCUGUUUCCUACAGCCUUUGCUGCUGCACGUAGGAGUAGGAAUGCAGGAAAAAGCAAAAAUUAAAGAGAACAUACUGAAAGUCAAUGUUUACCUUCUCUGUUUGUUCUCAGGAAAGAUUAUUUUUGAAGAAACGGAAUGCAUGAAGUAACAUUGUGACAUCCUAAACCAUCUCGCCUACUACAAAGACUUUAGAUGAUGACAACUGUGAUGCACUGUUGUCAUGGUUUUUAACACCAGAAUCUGAAAAAUACGAGCAUGGAACAGCCAUUCAAGAGAAGAUAAAAAUGUUAAAUCUGACUGUGUAGCUCUGUUCAGACUGUACUGCCCAUCAAAACUGGAAUUGAGUGCCCUGUUCAAGUGAUUACUGGCACUUGUGUAAAGGAAAACAAGCUCCACCGUUACGGGACUGCUGUAUUAUAUGAAAGAGCAAAAAGGUCACAGGAAUAAAGCAAGCAAAUGCAUGCUCAGUCCCUCGAAUCUCAGUACAUCACAAUAACAUCUGAUGUUCUUGCGCAACAGUGCUAGUAAGUAGCUCUUACUUAAUCUUCUACCAGUAUUACACAAGUAUACUUGCGAAAUACUUCAGAUAAAUAUUCUGUAAUUAUAUGAACUAUAAAAGCAUGUAAAGAACAAAAUGUUUUUGUAACUCUAAACACACAUACCUGUGGUUUACAUACAUACAUGGUUUUGAUGAGCUAUUUUAAUAAUGGAAGCAAUGCUUUAGACAAUCCCAUGAGCAACCAGGAUGCUAUGUGCUCAAAGCAGAGUGGACAUAUGGACAUGCAUUUUAUAUAUUAUGCAUAUAUAUACACAAAGUGAUCACAAUUUUGCCCUGCACAGUCACUAUGUGCUUUCCUGCUGGCAGAAUCAGGCUGCAAAGCUGGAAUAACCAGCUUAAUAGUACUGCUUUAGCACCAGCAACUAUUCUGGUAGUGUAGCUGCGCAAUGGCUGCUCCCACACCACCUCCUCCCUGAUUUGCUAGGGUUUCCUUUUACCUAACUGCUGACAAGCUGACUACAGAGAGGAGCUUGUACAGAAAGAGUAACCACGUUCCGUAAGUAUUACCACCUGCUAGCAGCAACACAGUUCCAUCAGAUGUCAUGUCAUCAGAGGUCAGUCGUUUCUCAUAUACCCUGCUUACUUCAAGGAACUAUUAUUUUCACAUUUACCUAACAACUCCAAAGCACAAAGCAGUCUAGAAGCACAACUGCAAAGGAGCACAACCAAAACUACAUCUACACAGGAACUGAGGUGCCCAAGUGCAAAAUUCAGACUCUCAACAUUUUUGCUUAGCUGUUGAGAUUUUCCUUUGAUCUCUGAAGCUCUGCUCUUGAUGACGACAGCAGCAGAAGCCAAGCUAUAUGAUGGCCUUUCAAGAUGCAUGAAUUAAGCCUUCUGCAGCUAACGAAUCUGAGUCACUAGGCCUCUUUACAUUUGACAGACAGGAUGCCAAGGAGUACAAAGGCGAUGCUGGGAAUGAGAGUAAAGACAGCAGGACUCUAAUCCUUACUCCACAGUCUAUUAAUAAAACAGCAUAACAUUUGCUGUAAGACAGGCCUUCCCUUCCCAAUCGAACAGACUAGUGGUCAUUAUUGCUAUGUAAUUAACUAAAAUACAAACGUUUACAUCAGGAGUGACUGAGACACACAGUGAUAAGAUCUUUGAUCUGAAGAUCAAUUUCAAAGAAAGGAGGGAGGAGAAACUGAUCUGCUCUCCAACUACAGAGCACAUUGAUAGAUGAAAUGAUUGCAGUAGACUUUUUCUACUUUUUCAGAAUUUUGCUGAUUUAAGCCUAGGCAAGUGAAAUUUUAAGAAUACAAAUUUGAGCAUCUAAAUGAAGAAAGGAAUUUCCUUCAGUACAAAGCAAAAAAAGUGCUAAAACAGGCCCAAGCCUUCACUUAAGAACUGGUAACAUAGGCUGAACCCUGCCCAUUAAGCUGCAUUUUGUAGAUCCUUCCUCCUUUCAAAUAUUUACAUGGAUAGCCUAGGUAUCACAUAUGGCUGUUAUGAUUUCUAAUAGUGAUUAGAGUACAGAACUCAGGAUGAAAGAAGCCAAUAUGGAAAAACCUGCGGAGUUGCUCAAAACAAGAGAACUGACUGUGCUGAAAUGGACUGUGACUUAGUCAUUGCAGACUGAACAUGCCAGGCAAACCAUUUCUUCUAUCCAAGUUCCUUCCAAGACCCACUGCUCCCCUGAAGCAUGCUCCUUCUUUCCAUCACGAAGUUGAAGAGGAGGCUGGCUAUAAGAACACACUUAAAACAAUAUUCAACAUGAACCGUGUUUUUGCUCACUAUCUAGGAAUAUUUUUAAUUUAUAUUAAUAAUUCAGAUACAUAGCAGCUUUGAAGAGAACAAUUCUGGCAGCAUGGACUUCAUACAUUAAAAAAAAGCAGAGUCAAACUCUUUCCAAACAAGCAUACAGACAGAUUAUUAACAUUCAUAUGUAAUGAAAAAACAACCUUCAAAACUCUCUCCUUGUAAUUUAAAUUUUAAACUUUUUUUUCUAAACUAAAUGAAAGAGAAAUGUUUCCUAAAGAAUCUGCACAAACUGGCAUAGGGUUUUUUAACAUGCUAGGAAGAAUUGAGCCAAAGAUGAUAUCACAAAGUCCCUUAUGCUUAAAUGAAAAUGUUAAAUCAAUUAGCAAUUGCAAGAAUAAAAAAGAAACUAUUCGCUGUAUAUUGCUUAAAAAAAAGAAAAAACAACCCAAACUCUUCAUGUCCUUUUGAAAGCGACUGUAUUACACAACAUGAAAACCGCAACAUAUUUUCACCUCUUCAAUGUUACAAAAGCCUUAUUAGCAUACACUUUAGAAAUCAUAAUCAAAGAGAAGCAGUCACUGAACAGAACUCUGAAGAAUUUAUAAACAUAAAUAUAUGUACAGAUCAUAUCUCUGAGAGUUAAUUGAGAGGGACUGUUUUGAACUCCUCUAUAAUAAAUUCUUUUAACAUAUUUCAUGUUUAUUUGCAUGUGAAUGAGUGUCCGUGGAAGAAUUAUCUACUAGAUAAAAUUUAAAGAUGAAAUCUAAGUCUAGACUUGGUAAAGGAAGGGUGGAGAGACUGAUAUUACAAUCUAUGUCAGCUGCUGAUUAAUGAGAUGCUCACGAUUGCUGUACAAACUGCAGAAGCAAAUGGAAUAGCAGGGCUGGGAGGAAUGUGCUGGGUACGCCACGCCUUUGUAGAAAGUUAGAAAUCACUUUGACUUCUGCUACAUUUAUUCCAGCCUUGAACUAUCACAUGUACAUGCUGAAAUACAUAGUAACAAACGUGCCUGUCCUAGGUACUUGACUGCUGUUUCUGCAAAAGAUUACAGCAAGUAUAGUUAUAAAUAGUUAUUUAUAAUCAAAUCUCUCAAAAAUCUUCUGGUAUAAUUUUUAAUACUCUUGUAACUUUGUUUAUAAAACAUCAGUGUUUAAAGAGCAAACAAACAAAAAAAUCACCAUAUAAGUCAACAGAUGUUCCUCCUGCCUAAGGAGCACUUAACUAAGCAUUAACUGCAAAAGUAGUAUUUGUAAUCCCUCAAGAUACACAAAAGGAAUUUCAUUGCCUUCAGCUGAACACAUAUCUCCUUUUGUCUUACCUGUUCACAACUAUUCUCCUUCUCUCAUUUUUGGAGAUAGAUGCCUUUUUAGAAGUGUACAGAAAAGAACAUUUAAAAAUAGCAGCAUUGUCACUAUGAUAUCGAAAGUGCAUUAACUUUACAAAUCACAGAAUCACAGAAUCACAGAAUGACCCGGGUUGGAAGGGACCUCAAGGAUCAUGUAGUUCCA